RNAcentral lists this transfer RNA (75 nucleotides) under Bacillota bacterium. RNAcentral's name for it is "tRNA-Arg". It matches the Rfam family "tRNA". From Rfam's summary of the family: Transfer RNA (tRNA) molecules are approximately 80 nucleotides in length. The record is from RNAcentral. RNAcentral also lists the same sequence under 4 other names. Lineage: Bacteria; Bacillati; Bacillota.
GUCCUCAUAGUUAAAUGGAUAUAAUAAGCCCCUCCGAAGGGCUCGUUGCAGGUUCGAUCCCUGCUGGGGACGCCA